GGGAGGGACCGCCAGCGACGACAUCUGACGGCGGGCGGGGAGAGAGAACAGAAGUUACCGGGGCUUGAUGUAAAUCAGUUUAGCUCCAAACACACCCCUCCCUGCCCUGCUGCCUCGCAGAGAUACAAAAGGACGAAUUUAUCUUUCGGCAAAAUGCUCCCCAGCUGGUAUUUCCAUCACCACCUUGACCUUAAUUAAUCAGCCUGAACGCUCACAGCCUGAAGUCCGGCGCUGACUGUUCAUUUGCGAUUGUUAAGAUCCUUUCCCACAACCUGGAGGAGAUGCAGCCCUCCGGCUGUCGCAGAUUGGCUUUGUUUUAAAGAAUCCAAGCAAGUACAUUUUCCUGAUACGAAUUUUCAGGAAAAACCUCGCAUCCUGUGACUAUGUAAAUAACGAAUUUGGGUGUCAGACUUGAACUAUGUGCUGAAUCAGGACUCUGCCUUUCAGAAGCUGUGAGACUUGGGACACGAAAACCCUGGAUGUUAUCAUGAAAAAUGAAAUUGAAGCAUUGAUUCCAAAACUGUACGAAGAGAAAACAGAAGCCACGAGACGAGGCUCUUCACCUCUCCGAAGUGAUUAUUUCCCUUUCACUGUGAAGUAUCCUGCCUGAAUUAAAGUAAUCAAAUUUAGAAAGGAGUAGAACUAGAACAUCUGGCAUCAGCAUCUUUCCCCCACUCCCACCCCCACCCCAUCCAUGUAAUACACGCUCUUUGAGGAGAAUAUACACAAAGCAAAAGAAGAUGUCAACAAUCAUUCACGUACCACGAUUCAGAGAAAGCUGUCCUGUAAGACUUCUAUGUGCAUAGUUUACAAAAAUGAAAACAUAUUAUACUUAUUUCUUUAUAAUCUGCUUUUGUCUAUGAUACAAAUAUUUAGCUAUUGAAUCAUAUGAUGGCUGGGAUUUGAUUAGAAACAAUCCAGUGGGAGAUAACUUGGGGUAUAAAUGAACCAGGAAGAACCUUGAGUUUAUAAUUGUUGUAGCUGGAUGCUAGGGUUCACAGAUCUCUAUAAUUGAGCACGUUUGAAAUUUUCUGUAGUAAAAAUGUCAUUAAACAGUAACCUGUUAACCUGUAACACCAUUCUUAAUGGCCACAUGUGUUAUGAUCUAACCAAUCUUCUGCUGUUGAGCAAUUAGAUCAUUUCUGAGUUUUCAUUUUGUAAACAAUACUGUGAUGGACAUCUUUGUAGCUAAAUCUGAUGGAUCUGAGAUGGACUGAAGGGAAAGAAAGAGGUCACGAAUGAUUCCAAGGAUUUUUCUGAGUACUUGCAAGAACAAGUUGCCAUUAAUUAAGAAAGAAAAGAUUUAAAAUUAAGAGUAACUUGGGAUGGAAUAUCAAGAGUUUGAUUUUGAUGGUCACAUUAAAUUUUGGAAGCCUAUCAGACGUGUAAGUGGAGAUGUCGAGUAGGUAGACAGUCCCAUUUAAGGACUGGAAUUCAGGGGAGGAGUGAGGGCUGGAAAUAUAUAUUUUAGAUCAUGGGCAUAUCGAUGUUGAAUAAAGGAGCGAAGAAAUAUUUGAUUUCUCCAGGUCCGUUAUUUUACGAUAAAAAAGAUGAGGAGUCAACAAAUAGGCACCAAAAUAGGUAGAAAGUAAAGGAACAGAAUGUGAUGUCCCAGAAACCACGUGAAGAAAGUAUUUCUAGAAGGAAGACACUGAGAGGUCUAAUAAAAUGUGAGCUGAAAAACUGCCUGUGAGAUUCGGCAACCUGAUGCCUUGUUUAUUAUCAUCUUUCCCAACUACAAGGGAAGCUCCAUGAGUUCUGGGACUUUGCUUCGGUUAUUUCUACAAUCCCAGUUCCUAGAACUGUUUUUGAACUAUAGUAUGCGGUCAAUAAAUAACUGU
Molecule: long non-coding RNA, 1841 nt
Organism: Nyctereutes procyonoides (raccoon dog)
Lineage: Eukaryota; Metazoa; Chordata; Mammalia; Carnivora; Canidae
Exons: 4
Source: RefSeq, a predicted model, not a curated record